Transfer RNA from Apaloderma vittatum (bar-tailed trogon), 73 nucleotides. It matches the Rfam family "tRNA". From Rfam's summary of the family: Transfer RNA (tRNA) molecules are approximately 80 nucleotides in length. Lineage: Eukaryota; Metazoa; Chordata; Aves; Trogoniformes; Trogonidae. The record is from Rfam.
GGCCAGUUAGCUCAUUCAGUUGAGCGUGGUGCUAACAACGCUAAGGUCGCGGGUUCGAUUCCCAUUCAGUCCC